This 253-nucleotide ribosomal RNA is filed under the name uncultured bacterium. RNAcentral's name for it is "partial 16S ribosomal RNA". It matches the Rfam family "Bacterial small subunit ribosomal RNA", at positions 524 to 776 of the family's 1533-position model. The record is from RNAcentral.
UACGUAGGGUGCGAGCGUUAAUCGGAAUUACUGGGCGUAAAGCGCACGUAGGCGGCGAAGCAAGUUGGGUGUGAAAGCCCUGGGCUCAACCCAGGAAGUGCAUUCAAAACUGCUUCGCUUGAAUCUCGGAGGGGGUCAGAGAAUUCCCGGUGUAGAGGUGAAAUUCGUAGAUAUCGGGAGGAAUACCAGUGGCGAAGGCGCUGACCUGGACGAAGAUUGACGCUGAGGUGCGAAAGCGCGGGGAGCAAACAGG